RNAcentral lists this small nucleolar RNA (86 nucleotides) under Dichanthelium oligosanthes. Its description in RNAcentral is "Small nucleolar RNA U31b". It matches the Rfam family "Small nucleolar RNA U31b". The record is from Rfam by way of RNAcentral. Lineage: Eukaryota; Viridiplantae; Streptophyta; Magnoliopsida; Poales; Poaceae.
GAGGAUGAUGAUAUGAUAUUGUCGCCCCAGUCUUAGAUCCGCUCUAUUCGCGGGCCUUUGCUGAUUGACACAUGUGAAUCUGACUC